RNAcentral lists this ribosomal RNA (426 nucleotides) under uncultured bacterium. RNAcentral's name for it is "bacterial SSU rRNA". It matches the Rfam family "Bacterial small subunit ribosomal RNA", at positions 355 to 773 of the family's 1533-position model. The record is from RNAcentral.
UGGGGAAUAUUGGACAAUGGGCGAAAGCCUGAUCCAGCAAUGCCGCGUGUGUGAAGAAGGCCCUCGGGUUGUAAAGCACUUUUAUCAGGAACGAAAUACCACGGGUUAAUAACCUAUGGGGCUGACGGUACCUGAGGAAUAAGCACCGGCUAACUUCGUGCCAGCAGCCGCGGUAAUACGAAGGGUGCAAGCGUUAAUCGGAAUUACUGGGCGUAAAGGGUGCGUAGGCGGUUGUUUAAGUCUGUCGUGAAAUCCCCGGGCUCAACCUGGGAAUGGCGAUGGAUACUGGGCAGCUAGAGUGUGUCAGAGGAUGGUGGAAUUCCCGGUGUAGCGGUGAAAUGCGUAGAGAUCGGGAGGAACAUCAGUGGCGAAGGCGGCCAUCUGGGACAACACUGACGCCGAAGCACGAAAGCGUGGGGAGCAAAC